This 483-nucleotide ribosomal RNA is filed under the name uncultured bacterium. RNAcentral's name for it is "partial 16S ribosomal RNA". It matches the Rfam family "Bacterial small subunit ribosomal RNA", at positions 30 to 507 of the family's 1533-position model. The record is from RNAcentral.
UUGAACGCUGGCGGAAUGCUUUACACAUGCAAGUCGAACGGCAGCACGGGGGCAGCCCUGGUGGCGAGUGGCGAACGGGUGAGUAAUACAUCGGAACGUGCCCGGUCGUGGGGGAUAACGUAGCGAAAGUUACGCUAAUACCGCAUACGAUCUGAGGAUGAAAGCGGGGGACCUUCGGGCCUCGCGCGAUCGGAGCGGCCGAUGUCAGAUUAGGUAGUUGGUGGGGUAAAGGCCUACCAAGCCGACGAUCUGUAGCUGGUCUGAGGGGACGACCAGCCACACUGGGACUGAGACACGGCCCAGACUCCUACGGGAGGCAGCAGUGGGGAAUUUUGGACAAUGGGCGCAAGCCUGAUCCAGCCAUUCCGCGUGCAGGACGAAGGCCUUCGGGUUGUAAACUGCUUUUGUACGGAACGAAAAGGCUCUGGCUAAUACCUGGGGCUCAUGACGGUACCGUAAGAAUAAGCACCGGCUAACUACGUG